Strigops habroptila (Kakapo) is the source of this 1502-nucleotide long non-coding RNA. RefSeq lists it as uncharacterized. The record is from RefSeq and is a predicted model, not a curated record. The transcript is spliced from 3 exons. NCBI's taxonomy places the organism in Eukaryota, Metazoa, Chordata, Aves, Psittaciformes, Psittacidae.
CCUCUUUGAAUUCAACUAGUAAUCUAAACUUAAGUACCAUGGUGUUGUAGCACUCUGUUUUCUGUUUCAAGAUAAUGCCAUAUGUGAAAGCCAGCUAAAUGGGAAGAAAUAAUUUUACAACCUGGAUGAGUUAAGGAUGAAUUAAUGCUGGAGCAGCUCCAUUCGAAGGAGAUACUCAAACAUUUGUGGAAAUGCUUAAAGGUUCUUUUUGUAUGAAACGAUGCAAUUGUAUGCAUUGUAAUUAACUUUUCUACUAAGAAUGUGAACGCAGUGUAUAUUUGUACUUCCUUUGUUAAGAGGACUCAUCUCCUUUUCAGAUAAGUGCCUGUUUUUAAUUUAAUGUCCAUUGUUCCCCCCCUUGCUGCUGCAAAAAAAACCCAAACACCCAGAGUGAUUUUCUUUGCUCAGUUCAGCUGUAUAAGAAUGACAGUCCAGGCUGUGAGUCCAGGCUGCAUACAUCUGCUGCUGCAAGGUGGUAGGAAUCAAUUUCUAAUAAGUACUAAUUUGGCUAUCAGAGGAGAAGAGGGGAGUUAAGGAAGGCUUUAACUCCCUCUUCCCUUUCUCUGCCCUUUUCUUGUCUGAGAACUGAAAGUAGAGAGUGAGUUUCUAGUUGCUUCCAAUUGUUUGAAAGGUAGGAGAAAUAGUAAUGUGUAAAUUUGUAUGUUUCUAGCUGGAAAGUGAAAUGUGCUAGGCAGACUGCAGAUAAUUCUCUUGCUCUCUCUGUUAGCUCUGCUGCAUAUGAUAUUAGAAUUAACUUAGAGGAUUUUUUCAAAUAGUUGUAAGCAUUGAUAAGAGUCACUAGAUAAUAUCCUGUAGUCAUACAGGUUGCUCCUAUCUGUUGGUUGAGGUAGAACUUACCUCUCCGAUAAAUUUAGUUCCAGAUGAUGCUUCAGAAAUACCUUAUUGUAGUCAACAUGCCUCUAGUUCUUGGGUGCCCAGUAUGUGAUGCUUACACUGUUGUAAUAACACCCAUUAUGACUCUGACACAGCUGCGUGUGUGUUUUGCUAUGGUUAUAGUAGUAGCUGUGGUGAUGGUUUAAAUUAAGACUGACUUGUCCAUUUUCUUGCCAAUCUACUGGAGGUAAACAGUCAGCUAAUUUUAUAUGCUGACAGAGUAUUCCUGCAGGCUAGUGAACUAAAAUUCUUGCGUUAUUUUUAAUAUAAAUAUUUUUAGCUAGUAGAUCUUGUGGUCUUUGCCUAAACAUUUGAAUGUUACUUCAUGGCUUCUAACUUUGAAUAGGUGUUUUACUGUGGGUUACUUUCUCAAGUGUGCUAUAAUUAGGGAUUUUAGAUGUCUGUGCUAUUUGUGGUUUUGCAAAUCCAUGUUGAUGCUGCAGUGAUGCUUGACAAAAUGAUUUCUAUUUAGAGGCCACUGUUUUAGAUGAGUUGGUUCUGGUUUUAUUAGUGGCAAACUAGGGAUCCUAACUCCUGAAUUUUUCUGUGUUGUUCUUUGCCUUUUUAUGUUGAGAAUUUCCUGAAGCAUGAGUCCUGGAGCAUGCAGU